This 433-nucleotide ribosomal RNA is filed under the name uncultured bacterium. RNAcentral's name for it is "partial 16S ribosomal RNA". It matches the Rfam family "Bacterial small subunit ribosomal RNA", at positions 28 to 507 of the family's 1533-position model. The record is from RNAcentral.
GACGAACGCUGGCGGCAUGCCUAACACAUGCAAGUCGAACGAGACCUUCGGGUCCUUUGGCGCACGGGUGCGUAGCGCGACGGGACAUUCACUUGUGUUUGACCUACCUCCCAGAAAGGGGUACUAAUACCGGACAGUGUCUAAGACCCAAAGAUUUAUCGCCCUUGGAUGUGCCCGCGUUGGAUUAGCUAGUUGGUAGGGUAAAAGCCUACCACCGCGAGGAUCCAUAGCUGGUCUGAGAGGAUGGGCAGCCACACUGGGACUGAGACACGGCCCAGACUCCUACGGGAGGCAGCAGUGGGGAAUGGUGGACAAUGGGGGGAAGGAUGAUGCAGCAAUGCCGGGUGAGUGAUGAAGGUAGUGGAGUUGUAAAGCUCUUUUAACCGGGAUGAUAAUGACAGUACCGGGAGAAUAAGCCCCGGCUAACUCCGUG